This 684-nucleotide long non-coding RNA is filed under the name Pongo abelii (Sumatran orangutan). RNAcentral's name for it is "lincRNA". The record is from RNAcentral. Lineage: Eukaryota; Metazoa; Chordata; Mammalia; Primates; Hominidae.
CUGACAGUUUGGCUUCCCUGUUCCAGGUGGCAAAGCCUGUGGGGUAUUCACCUACCUGCUGCAUGAAGGCAGCAUGGAGGGACUGUGGUGGAUUAUCUGCAAAGAUGGCCCAAAUUCUCUCAUCCCUGCAGGUACAUACAAGGUUGUUGCAUGGCAUAAGUAAAAUGACAGCUAUAGAAUAUGUGCAACUUUUCAGUGACAAAGACCUGUGAAGCAUUGACAGUACCACCUAAUGAGGUUUCACGAUAACUAAGUAUCACAACCAGUUUACAGACCAGAAAACUGAGACACAGGAAGGGUUGGUGACUUGAGCAAGGUGCAUCAGCUGAAAAGUUGCUAAAACCGCUGUGAGAUUCUGGCUAAGAAAAUUUCAUGAGAAGUUUUACAGAAAAAUGUGAACAGAAGAAAGAACUAGAUAUAAAUUUGAAUGUUUUGAGAAGAAUGCAAAGAAGAAGGGAAGAGUGAGCCUCUCUUUUCCCAUCGUUACCCUCCAUUGUCCUCUUGACACCCUGCUUUUGCAGACAGAGAGUUUGAGACCCUCUCCCAGGAGCCAAGGAGAGGGGAACAGCUGGCUUCACAUCAUCUUUCUAUUCAACAAGACACAAAAAGCUGAAGCCAGGAUGAUAGAAAAGCAACAAAGAAGACACGGUCCUUACUCAUUUCCCUUCCCGCUUCAGAGCAAAU